Hemicordylus capensis (graceful crag lizard) is the source of this 4893-nucleotide RNA transcript. It is a transcript of the gene named RIB43A domain with coiled-coils 1, with no coding region annotated. NCBI's taxonomy places the organism in Eukaryota, Metazoa, Chordata, Lepidosauria, Squamata, Cordylidae. The record is from RefSeq and is a predicted model, not a curated record. The transcript is spliced from 2 exons.
GGGCGCGAGGGGGAGCAGUUUUGUGGCCGCGGCCACCAUUUCAGGGGCACGAGAGAGCGGGAACAUUCCCGCGGCCGCCAUUGAGUUCGGGGGUGGUCCCCUCGAACGGAACAUCGAAUGUGCCUGCCUGCUCCACCGCAGCCUUACCCGCCUGCCCUUCGAAUCUCGGGCCUCCGGUUUUGAGUCCGUGUGGCCCAGCCAGCCUUGUUAACCGCAUGAUCCCUAAUGUGCCUCCGGAAGGUUUUCCUUUGGAGGAAUCGGCCUCAGACAGGGAGGAGGGCGAGCUUUCUGGGUAUGAGGGGGACAGUGUUUCCACCCCACAGGCCCCUUACCGUUUAUUCUCACCCCCGGAUUUUCCUGUGCUACUCCACAAGGCACGGAAGACCUUAAGGUUGGGGUGUGUGGUGCCUAAUCCCCUGGACACCACCCCUGAGGGGGACCCCGCAGUCUUACCCUCUUUAAAGGCACCUGAGGUAGUGGUGCCUUGCCCUCAGCUCUUUCUGGACAUAAUCCACUCGGAGUGGGAUCCUCCCACCGAAAGUAAGGGUCCCCCCCCAGGGAUUAAACGUCUUUAUACAACCACCAAGGUGGUAAUGGACAAACUUCAGAUACCGCCAGUAGAUGCGGAAGUGGCGGCCCUGGUUACUGGCGCUGUUUUGCCCAGGGAUGGGGGGGAAGUUUUGCGUAACCAUGACGACAAAAAGUGUGACGCCGCCUUGCGGAGGUCCCAUGAGGCUUCUUCGCUCGCUAUGCGGGCCUGCAUGGCUAAUUCCAUAUUUGCAAGAGCCUCAGUGCUCUGGAUUAAAGAGCUUCUGCCCUUGGUUCCCCCUGAACUGUUGCCUCUCAGGCAGGGCCUCAAUAAGUUAUCUAAAGCUUCAGCCUUCAUGGCCGACAGUUCCCUGGAUGCUACCCAACUGUCCGCUAGGGCUUUGGCCUCCGCCGUGACGGUCAGGCGCCAUUUAUGGCUUAAGCACUGGCGCGUUGACCAGAAGUCCAGGUCUAAUUUAGCCACGUCGGCGUUCAAGGGAGGCAAGCUCUUUGGGGAGGUCCUGGAGCCAGUCUUAGUCGAAGGCAAGGACAAGAAAAAGGCGAUGCCAUUGUCAGCGCAACGCCAGGGAGGUAAACAUCUCUCUUCUACCUUCUCUUCAUACAGGGGCUUCCGGUCGUCCUUUCGUUCCCGACAGGACAAACAGGACAGGUUCACCUCCUGGAAGCGUCCACAGGGCGCCUUUAGAGAUGCCGCCCAGUCCAGAUAUCGUCAGCCUGCGCAGCAGAAGUCUGGAUUCAAACGCCCAGCAACCCAAUGACGGUGUUCUGGAAUGUCAGGUGGGAGGCAGGUUACAGUUCUUCGCCCAGGCCUGGGCGAGGAUUUGCUCGGAUAUCUGGGUUCUGCAGACAGUGGCCCAGGGCUACAGCCUGGAUUUCCACCGUCAGCCCCUCGACCGCUUUUUAGUGUCCCCUCAAUCCAACAAGCGGGGCAAACAUGCGCAGAUGCUGGCCGCCAUACGUCACCUGUCAGAUAUCCAGGCAAUCGAGCCGGUUCCCUUGGAGGAGGUUGGGUAUGGCGUUUAUUCCAUUCUUUUUCUGGUGCCAAAAAGGAAUGGAGAGUGGAGAGCAAUACUCGACUUGAAGUAUGUGAAUCGGUUCCUCCGCACGAAGCGUUUCCGGAUGGAAACCCUUCGCUCCAUCUUGAUAGCGCUCCAGGACGGCGACUUCCUGUCCUCAGUGGACCUAAAGGAGGCCUACCUCCACGUCCCAAUUCAUCCCCAGGACAGGAGGUUCCUCCGGUUUGUGUAUGCAGGAGCACACUUCCAAUACCGGGCCCUUCCCUUUGGUCUCUCGACUGCGCCACGCGUGUUCACCAAGAUCAUGGUGGCACUCGUGGCACACUUGAGAGCCAAGGGGAUUCAUUUAUAUCCCUAUCUGGACGAUCUGUUGAUCAGAUCCCCAUCUCACCAGAAGGCCUUGAGGGACGUGGAAGAGACCUUAGUGGUCCUUCAGACACACGGGUUCCUCGUGAACCGUCAGAAAAGCUCCCUCUCCCCCCAGAACCAGAUCCUUCACCUCGGAGCUGUCAUAAACUCUGUAAAGGGCACUGCAUCCCUGUCCCUGGAGAGACGACAAAGGUUGUCUGCCUUGUGUCGAAAGGCCCGCCUACGCAGCCAUCUGGAUGUGCUAUCCCUGAGUCAGCUACUGGGGAUGAUGGUCUCGACCAUAGGCAUAGUCCCCUGGGCUCGCCUCCACUCACGCCCGCUUCAAUGGCUGCUCCUGCCACUUCAGGACCUGGUGUCCGCCCAGUCCCGGCGGAGGGUUCGUCUGGCCCCUCAGGUCAGGAAAUCACUGGACUGGUGGCUGUCUCCGGCUCUGGCCAAGGGUGUCUCUUUCUUGCCGGUGCACCACAUUCUGGUCACCACAGACGUCAGCCUCCAAGGGUGGGGGGGGCAUUGCCAAGAUCAAGUGGCACAAGGCCUGUGGUCUCCGUCCGAACGGGUCCAGUCCAUAAACUGGCUGGAACUCAGGGCGAUUCGGUAUGCUCUACUUCAGUUUCUCCCCUUGAUUCGCGGGUCCCACGUUCUAGUGAGGACCGACAGCGAAACAGCCAAGGCUCAUGUCAACAGGCAGGGGGGAACGCGGGCAUGGCCGCUGAUGCACGAGGCCUCGCUGCUUCUGCACUGGGCAGAAAAGAAUCUAACAUCUUUGGAGGCAGUACAUGUCAGCGGCGUGUCCAACACGGUGGCAGACUGGCUGAGCCGGACACAGCUGGAUCAGGCAGAGUGGGCCCUGGACGAUCGGGUGUUCUGCUCCAUCACGGAGAAGUUCGGGACCCCCCAGGUGGAUCUGUUCGCCACACCAGGAAACACCAAGGUGCCCAGGUUCUUUACCAGAUACCUGGCGCCAGGGGCCGAGGGAACGGACGCCCUAGUGUCUUCAUGGCCAACAGGACUGCUUUAUGCGUUUCCGCCCCCGGCCAUACUUCCACAAACGGUCAGGCUGGUCCGGCAACACCGGGCGGAAGUUAUAUUAGUAGCCCCACGGUGGCCACGUCGGCCGUGGUUUUCAGAUCUGGUCUCCCUGUCGCUGGCCCCCCCGAUGCCCCUGGGGUGCCAUCCACAUCUUUUGCGCCAGGGGCCGCUGUUCCACCCAGAUCCUCAGUGGCUGAACCUCAACGCAUGGAGAUUGAGCGGGGCACGCUAGUGGCCUGUGGCUACGCCCCUGCUGUCCAGAAAACCAUUCUCGCCUCCAAACGCCCGUCCACCCUUAGGGUGUACCAGUCCACCUGGCGGGCAUUUUCUGUUUGGUGCGCCUCUGUGGGGUCCAGCCCCAAGUCCGCCUCAGUCGGCCAAGUUCUGGGGUUCCUUCAAGCCGGGCUGGACAAAGGUCUUAUGCCGGCCACCCUCAAGCGGCAGAUGUUCUCCAUCUCCAGUACCCUCCAGGUGCCGGGAGCGCCUCCCUUAUCGGCACAUCCUCAUAUUAAAAAGUUCCUCAAAGGGGCGGCGGCUCUCAGGCCUCCCCCAUCCAUCGUUUCCCCACCUGGGACCUCAACCUGGUCCUCCGGGCACUGGUCAAGCCCCCCUUUGAGACUUUGCGCUCCAUUUCCUUGCGGCUACUCACCCUCAAGGUUAUUUUCCUGGUUGCCAUCACCUCGGCCCGGCGGGUGUCGGAUCUAGGGGCUUUAUCGGCCAGAAAGGAGCUGUGCUUGGUUUACUCAUUAUGUGGUGCUGCGCACCGACCCCACCUACCUUCCCAAGGUCAAUUCAUUUUUUCAUAGGUCUCAGGAACUGGUCUUGCCUUCCUUUUGCCCUAAACCUUCGACCCCUAAGGAAAAGGAAUGGCAUACGCUCGACGUCAGGAGAGCACUCAGAAUUUACUUGCGUCGGACCAAAGCCUUUCGGGUCUCCGAAUCCCUAUUUGUCUCCUUCAGGGACUGCUCACUGGGGAAAAAGGUGUCAUCCUCCACAUUGGCGCGCUGGAUCUGCCAGUGCAUCCGCCUAGCUUACGCAUCAGCCAAGGUGGCGGAGCCGGAUGGCAUUACCGCUCAUUCCACACGUAGUGCCGCAUCCUCCGCGGCCCUGACCACCACGGCCCCUCUGGCUGACAUCUGCAGAGCGGCCACGUGGGCUUCCCUUUCCACUUUCGUAAAAUUCUAUAAGAUUCAUGACUGGGCCUCUGCCGACGCUUCUUUCGGCAGACGGGUUCUCCAACGGGUGGUUCCAACAUAGUCCCAUACUCACGGAUCCCACCCUCUGUUUCCUAGCAGCUAUGGUAUGUCCCAUCAUGCCUUUCGGAUGCCAUCCUCUUCUGAGGGAGAAUGAAUCGUUGGCACUCACCUGAAUGGUCAUUCUCCUCAGAAGUAUGGAUGGCAUCCGACCCGCCCGACCGUUCGUUUCUGCUUCUGUUUGUUUUCCAACUUAUCCACCUCUCUGUUCCCUAUAUAGGUGUGGGGAGGCUCUACUCUUCCGCGUUGUAUGUCUCAUCCCAUGGGUGGGGUUUUUCCGCUAAGACAGUUCACAGCUCGUUUCUUCUAAAGUUCUACCUUGCUUGUUGUUUCAUUCUGCUUGGUUCUUUCUCUGAUACUGUUUUUCUCUAGCCGGAGCAUCGGAGAGCUAGCAAUAGACUGGAGCCUGAGGGGAUUGCCCCUCCCUCCUGCUACAGGAGGAAAAGCUCUCUGAUUGGCCCUGUCUCGGAGCAGGAGGUCGUGACAACCCAUCAUGCCUUUCGGAUGCCAUCCAUACUUCUGAGGAGAAUGACCAUUCAGAGGCUGCGACAAGAGGAGCGGCAGCGGGAUGCUGAGUGGGAGCAGCAGCAGCAGCUGGCUGACCGGGCUGCCAUGGAGAUGGAGGCGCAGGAACAGGAUUUCCGCCUGCAACUGAGGAAGAGCCUGGAUGCUUACAA